GAUGAACGCUGGCGGCGUGCCUAAUACAUGCAAGUCGAGCGAACGGACGAGAAGCUUGCUUCUCUGAUGUUAGCGGCGGACGGGUGAGUAACACGUGGAUAACCUACCUAUAAGACUGGGAUAACUUCGGGAAACCGGAGCUAAUACCGGAUAAUAUUUUGAACCGCAUGGUUCAAAAGUGAAAGACGGUCUUGCUGUCACUUAUAGAUGGAUCCGCGCUGCAUUAGCUAGUUGGUAAGGUAACGGCUUACCAAGGCAACGAUGCAUAUCCGACCUGAGAGGGUGAUCGGCCACACUGGAACUGAGACACGGUCCAGACUCCUACGGGAGGCAGCAGUAGGGAAUCUUCCGCAAUGGGCGAAAGCCUGACGGAGCAACGCCGCGUGAGUGAUGAAGGUCUUCGGGUCGUAAAACUCUGUUAUUAGGGAAGAACAUAUGUGUAAGUAACUGUGCACAUCUUGACGGUACCUAAUCAGAAAGCCACGGCUAACUACGUG
RNAcentral lists this ribosomal RNA (497 nucleotides) under uncultured bacterium. RNAcentral describes it as "partial 16S ribosomal RNA". It matches the Rfam family "Bacterial small subunit ribosomal RNA", at positions 28 to 507 of the family's 1533-position model. The record is from RNAcentral.